This 253-nucleotide ribosomal RNA is filed under the name uncultured bacterium. RNAcentral describes it as "partial 16S ribosomal RNA". It matches the Rfam family "Bacterial small subunit ribosomal RNA", at positions 524 to 776 of the family's 1533-position model. The record is from RNAcentral.
UACAGAGGGUGCGAGCGUUAAUCGGAAUUACUGGGCGUAAAGCGUGCGUAGGUGGUUCGUUAAGUCUGAUGUGAAAGCCCUGGGCUCAACCUGGGAAUGGCAUUGGAAACUGGCGACCUAGAGUGCGGUAGAGGGCAGUGGAAUUCCCGGUGUAGCAGUGAAAUGCGUAGAGAUCGGGAGGAACAUCUGUGGCGAAGGCGACUGUCUGGACCAGCACUGACACUGAGGCACGAAAGCGUGGGGAGCAAACAGG